RNAcentral lists this ribosomal RNA (497 nucleotides) under uncultured bacterium. Its description in RNAcentral is "partial 16S ribosomal RNA". It matches the Rfam family "Bacterial small subunit ribosomal RNA", at positions 28 to 507 of the family's 1533-position model. The record is from RNAcentral.
GAUGAGCGCUGGCGGCGUGCCUAAUACAUGCAAGUCGAGCGAACAGACGAGGAGCUUGCUCCUCUGACGUUAGCGGCGGACGGGUGAGUAACACGUGGAUAACCUACCUAUAAGACUGGGAUAACUUCGGGAAACCGGAGCUAAUACCGGAUAAUAUAUUGAACCGCAUGGUUCAAUAGUGAAAGACGGUUUUGCUGUUACUUAUAGAUGGAUCCGCGCCGCAUUAGCUAGUUGGUAAGGUAACGGCUUACCAAGGCAACGAUGCGUAGCCGACCUGAGAGGGUGAUCGGCCACACUGGAACUGAGACACGGUCCAGACUCCUACGGGAGGCAGCAGUAGGGAAUCUUCCGCAAUGGGCGAAAGCCUGACGGAGCAACGCCGCGUGAGUGAUGAAGGUCUUCGGAUCGUAAAACUCUGUUAUUAGGGAAGAACAAAUGUGUAAGUAACUAUGCACGUCUUGACGGUACCUAAUCAGAAAGCCACGGCUAACUACGUG